RNAcentral lists this ribosomal RNA (292 nucleotides) under uncultured bacterium. Its description in RNAcentral is "partial 16S ribosomal RNA". The record is from RNAcentral. RNAcentral also lists the same sequence under 1 other name.
GGACUACUGGGGUAUCUAAUCCUGUUUGCUCCCCACGCUUUCGUGCAUGAGCGUCAGUGCUGGCCCAGGAGGCUGCCUUCGCCAUCGGUGUUCCUCCACAUCUCUACGCAUUUCACUGCUACACGUGGAAUUCCACCUCCCUCUGCCACACUCGAGCCUCGCAGUCCUGAAUGCCAUUCCCAGGUUAAGCCCGGGGCUUUCACACCCAGCUUACGAGACCGCCUGCGCACGCUUUACGCCCAGUAAUUCCGAUUAACGCUCGCACCCUACGUAUUACCGCGGCGGCUGGCAC